Molecule: long non-coding RNA, 399 nt
Organism: Hyla sarda
Lineage: Eukaryota; Metazoa; Chordata; Amphibia; Anura; Hylidae
Exons: 3
Source: RefSeq, a predicted model, not a curated record
AGUAAGCAGAGACCCACACUUGCAUCACCAUGUUUGGCUAACCAGAGCAGUCUUUCGCAACACCAUAAUGGACCCAAUACUGACGGCCAGCAGCUCCCAGAUCCUUGACGGAAGAGCACAGGUCUAUAAUAAAAGCUAUGAACAGUGUUGUACCUCCUAGCGCAACACAACAAGACACAUAUCGGCAGUCUCUCAACACUGCGCAGAACAGCGUGCAGGGGACACUUCUUCCAUCAGACUGACAGGUAUAGAAAGAGUUAAUCUACCAUAUCGGUGAGGAGACUAAAGACAAGCUUCUCAAUAGAGAAGUGUACUGGAUUCUUAAACUAGCUACUCGAUUUCCACAUGGUCUGAAUGGGCGUCAAGAUGUCAUACUUCAUUACUGACACCAUUUAAUAA